UAAAUGGUAAACAUUGCUUUUUGGUAUUUCAUCCCUGUGUUACUGAAAAUCAUAUUCGACACAGUCCACUCUAAAUUUCAACAAAAAUAAUGAAGUGCGCCAUGAACAGUUAGUGAAACAUUGAAACAUGUGUUAAACAUUGUGUAAGGAUUGUUGAAAGUUAACAAGUAAAAUAACUAAGCUUCCAAUAGUACUUCCUUAAAGAGAUGAUGGCACCAAAUCUACUUUGGAUUUUAUACGGCAUUGAUGUAUUUUAGAAACAAGGUAAGUUGUUACAUUAUAAAAUUACAAUAGAUUAACUAGUAGUAAAUAACUUCAUGCACUUUUUGAUAACUUUGUGCACAUAAAAUAAAACGUUAGUAGGUAGUGUAAGGAGUACGCUGUUUCCCAGUGUUAUGUCACAUUACAAUAAUUUGUUUUGAUUUUUUAGGAUAUCAAGAUGAACAGAGUGUCAAAAGAACAGCUUGAGGUUUUGUUGGAGUUUUAUAGUUCUUACAAGAACAUCAUUCUUUAGCCAAAGACAUAGACUCGGCACCACAUUCAAGAAAACUUUCGAUAGUCAGUGGAAACAUCUAGCGAUAAAGCUGAACUCUAUUGGUUUAGGUUCUUCCAAAACUGGAGAGCAUUUGAAACGUACUGGGCUGAUAUUUAAUAAGAGCAAAACCAGACUUGCUAAACAUAAAUGGAGUCUUCUGACUGACUGACUGGCAGCGGUCUGAGUACACCGAAAAGAUAUUUCCGAGAUGGACAAAAAAAUCUGUCAUUGGAGAACAGGCUCUGUUUGGGAUGUAGAAAACAGAGUUCCAAUAUUGUAAACUUUACCAUAAAUAUUAUGUAUAUUAAAGAAAAAAAAGAUUUUUAUUUAAUAACUAGCCUUGCCAACUUCACAACAUGUCAAACAUUUUUACUUUUUUUUAUUUUAUGUUUUCUUGUGUAGUUCACAUUAAUAAUAAUCACAUUGAAAUAUAGUUUAUUUCACUCAGGAAUAAUGUAGCUUUCUACUGGUAAUAGAAUUUAAAAAAUGAAUUCAGUAUUUCCAGAAUUAACUUACUGCUAACAAUCUUAUAAACUUAGAUUUUCACACACUAAUUUGAGUAAUUAAUUAAAUCAUUUUUUUGUUUUUAAAAUGUACAUAGUACUUACAUGUAUACAGUAGCAUGUUUUAUAUAAAUAAAAAUGCCGUUUAGAAUUUGA
Molecule: long non-coding RNA, 1194 nt
Organism: Manduca sexta (tobacco hornworm)
Lineage: Eukaryota; Metazoa; Arthropoda; Insecta; Lepidoptera; Sphingidae
Exons: 2
Source: RefSeq, a predicted model, not a curated record